RNAcentral lists this small nucleolar RNA (68 nucleotides) under Mus spicilegus (steppe mouse). RNAcentral describes it as "Small nucleolar RNA SNORD2 (ENSMSIG00000026625.1)". It matches the Rfam family "Small nucleolar RNA SNORD2". Lineage: Eukaryota; Metazoa; Chordata; Mammalia; Rodentia; Muridae. The record is from Rfam by way of RNAcentral.
AAGUGAAAUGAUGGCAAAUCAUCUUUCGGGACUGACCUGAAAUGAAGAGAAUACUCUGCUGAUCACUU